GAUAGCUAAUACCGCAUAACAAUGUUGGAUGCAUAUUCGACAUUUGAAAGUACCAACUGGUACACUGAGAGAUGGACCCGCGUUGUAUUAGCUAGUUGGUAGUGUAAUGGACUACCAAGGCGAUGAUACAUAGCCGACCUGAGAGGGUGAUCGGCCACAUUGGGACUGAGACACGGCCCAAACUCCUACGGGAGGCAGCAGUAGGGAAUCUUCGGCAAUGGACGAAAGUCUGACCGAGCAACGCCGCGUGAGUGAAGAAGGUUUUCGGAUCGUAAAACUCUGUUGUUAGAGAAGAACGUUGCAUAGAGUGGAAAAUUAUGCAAGUGACGGUAUCUAACCAGAAAGGGACGGCUAACUACGUGCCAGCAGCCGCGGUAAUACGUAGGUCCCGAGCGUUGUCCGGAUUUAUUGGGCGUAAAGCGAGCGCAGGUGGUUUAAUAAGUCUGAUGUAAAAGGCAGUGGCUCAACCAUUGUGUGCAUUGGAAACUGUUAGACUUGAGUGCAGUAGAGGAGAGUGGAAUUCCAUGUGUAGCGGUGAAAUGCGUAGAUAUAUGGAGGAACACCGGUGGCGAAAGCGGCUCUCUGGACUGUCACUGACACUGAGGCUCGAAAGCGUGGGUAGCAAACAGGAUUAGAUACCCUGGGUAGUCCACGCCGUAAACGAUGAGUGCUAGUUGUUUGGGGCUAUCCAGCCCUAAGUGACGCAGCAAACGCAUUAAGCACUCCGCCUGGGGAGUACGACCGCAAGGUUGAAACUCAAAGGAAUUGACGGGGGCCCGCACAAGCGGUGGAGCAUGUGGUUUAAUUCGAAGCAACGCGAAGAACCUUACCAGGUCUUGACAUACUCGUGCUAUUCCUAGAGAUAGGAAGUUCCUUCGGGACACGGGAUACAGGUGGUGCAUGGUGUCGUCAG
RNAcentral lists this ribosomal RNA (913 nucleotides) under Pseudolactococcus raffinolactis. RNAcentral's name for it is "bacterial SSU rRNA". It matches the Rfam family "Bacterial small subunit ribosomal RNA", at positions 158 to 1058 of the family's 1533-position model. Lineage: Bacteria; Bacillati; Bacillota; Bacilli; Lactobacillales; Streptococcaceae. The record is from RNAcentral.